AAAGUCGUAACAAGGUAACCGUAGGUGAACCUGCGGUUGGAUCAUUAAUAAAUUAUAGAGCAGAAGGAGGUCAAGGCUCUUGGGUCAUGGCUUUCGACUGUUUCUUAACAUUUUGUGAAUCGUUUAUUGUCUCUUGCGGUUGGAGACUCGAUACCUCUUUAGAGGCAAGAGUCAACUCCGCAUGUGAAUCUUAACAUUGUAAUAUAACCAUCAGUCUUUAAACUUUAAACCUAAAAAUUUAAAAACAACUUUUGACAACGGAUCUCUAGGCUCUC
This 275-nucleotide unclassified non-coding RNA is filed under the name Chytridiomycota sp. Its description in RNAcentral is "partial contains small subunit ribosomal RNA, internal transcribed spacer 1, and 5.8S ribosomal RNA". The stretch from base 1 to 47 matches the Rfam family "Eukaryotic small subunit ribosomal RNA", at positions 1785 to 1831 of the family's 1831-position model. Lineage: Eukaryota; Fungi; Chytridiomycota. The record is from RNAcentral.